GCUUGGGGGUUCCUGGUUAUCACCGUGUCGGUUUGCCUUUCCUUUGCGAUCGUAGAUCUUACUUUCUCUUCUUCCCUCUUCAUAGAGAUGAGGUCCUUUGUGCUUUUAAUGUAGUUCAGCCUUCAUUUUUCGUUAGGGUAGGGGGUCGCGACGGCGUAGAGGGGUUGUCGUGAAAGUUUUUUUUUCUUGCCGGGUCUCGAACGGUCGGACUUUAGUCGGCGUCGCAAUGAGG
Molecule: long non-coding RNA, 232 nt
Filed under: Elaeis guineensis (African oil palm)
Lineage: Eukaryota; Viridiplantae; Streptophyta; Magnoliopsida; Arecales; Arecaceae
Description: long non-coding RNA (EGUI_LNC056199)
Source: RNAcentral